This 261-nucleotide long non-coding RNA is filed under the name Anas platyrhynchos platyrhynchos (common mallard). RNAcentral's name for it is "lncRNA (ENSAPLG00000022837.1)". Lineage: Eukaryota; Metazoa; Chordata; Aves; Anseriformes; Anatidae. The record is from RNAcentral.
CAUGCUCUUUCUGGUAUUUUUUUCCAUCAAAGCUGCCUGUGGAUUUUAACAAGUGACAAGCUCAGUGCUGGGAACAGCCGAAAAGCCUGGAGACGUACAUGCCUCGGUGUAGUCCCUGGUGCUACGCAUUGCAACAGCUCCUUGAACGUCAGAAGUCAGCUAUAGUGAGUCCGUAACAAGAUCUACAAGGUUUACCUACUACCCUGUGGCGAGAUGAUUGCACACAAUUGGGGAAGUGAUGCUGUCUUGUGGGCUAGUGAG